CAUCGCGAUCUUGUCUCGGUAGCGCCCCGUUAAGGGAAAAAGGCGUCCAUCAUCAUCGCCACCGCGACCGCGACCGCCCCGCCUCCUCCUCAGUGGCCUCCGCACCACACACGCCACAAAGCUCUUUCUCCACCUCGGCUUCCAUUUACACGUAUCUCCUUCCUGCGCCAUGCCGCGUCCGUUCGGUGUUUGGGCUCCGGCCACGACGCUUGCCGAGUAUCGCGCACGCAUCCCGAACCCUUUCGCAUACAGCUUCAAGUGGGUCUACGCCAUGAAGAAGGAGGUCUUCUACCCACCAGAGGCGCUGGCGCACUUCAAGGACCCCCAGCAGUUUAAGGAUGCAGUUGACACCGUCAUCGCGAUGCGUGUGUCGGACAAGAUCUUCGGCGAGGGCCAGAAGCUCCCCCGCCACCCGGUCAUUCUCAUGGUGAUGGUGCUGGCAACGCACGGUUUCAUCAUUUUCAGCGGGCUAAAGUACUACUACGGAACGUAUAUGCCGGCAAACAACCCGACGUGGCGCAAGACGGUCAACAAGGAGUGGGAGGAGGCCAUCAACAACUCCCCGUGGGACCACAUGUCGCACGUGUGGCAAUACAGCGACGAAUACGCGGCCGCGCUCGGCGAUACGGCUGCUCCUGGCCAGCGCAAGUUCUACAUCCCCGCUUAAGCUGCAUUGCCACACGCCAGUGCUGACGCACACGCGUGCACUCACACGCAGCCAAAUACGCGCGUCCUUCGGUGCUUCUACGUGUGACGUACAUCCACGCAUCUUGAAGCCGGGUCUCUGCUUCCAUCACACUAAGGCCGUCCCCCCCCCAUCGUUCAGCUUGCAGUCGCUGUUUUCUCUCCGCGAUGCAGCCGGCAGGAGCGCUCUCUGGUAAGAUGAUGUGGGCCCGUUUGUAUACGCCACGAGGCAGUGCCGAGCCAUCGAUGGCCGAGGCUCUUCUCUCUUCCGUCCUCCUGUGCGUGGCCGGAGUCUGUGUACGGGUCAUCGGUGAAAGUGCGUGUGCAUUUCUGGGAGGGGGAUGGGAUGGGGGCGAAGAGCAUCAGGCUGAGAGCAGUGCGCUUCUUCCUCGCGUUUGCCUCCGCGCUGAUGCCUGCCGUGUGCACGUCCUUGCGCAUAUUUCUUGUUGCUCUUUUCCUAGUAGGGAUCUCUCUAUUUCUCAUGCGUGAUGGUCAUUGUUUACGAGGUGGUGUAUGACCCGCUGUAGCGACGCAUGUACUGACAGGCGCCCAUGGACACGGAACACCUUCUCUGACGAAUCUUGCCUACUAGUGCCCUUGUGCAUGUGCGCAUGUUGCUUGAGGAGGCUGCUUAUAGUUGUGUCCUUGUCUGUGCGUGCACUCACCUCGGCACGCCAUGCAGUAAGCCGCUGAGUUGUGUCUGUGUGUGCGUGUGUGUCGGCACCAAAGGGGAGGACACGUAUUAGUACAAUGCCUGAGAGUGUAACUGCGUCCGUCUAUCGGUAUAUAUGUGUGUGUGUGUGUCGUUGUUGCUGUUGUUGGGUGCUGUUCUCUGUCGGCGUGUAUGUGUGCGUAUACAUAUAUGCAUGCGCAUGUGUGUAUGUGUGUGCCUUUAAAAGGAAUUUUUUUUCUCGUAGUUCCCCUUUGUUUUAUAGGUUUCCUUUCUGCGACGUACUCUUCGCUCCCACCCGCCCACCUUUCUGUCUGUCUCGCGGUCUCAUGCUCCACCACACACACACACACACACACACACACAGCGAGAAACGCAGAAACACCGACAGAGGGAGAGUCAUAACAGGCAAAGCGGGCUUACAUGGGAUUUGCCUUGAUCCAAUGCCCCCCCCCCCCCCCAUCCUCCACUGUCUAUGUCUAUGACUCUCUCUAUGUCUGUUGUGUGUGUGUGUGUGUGUGCACGCCGGAUCCCUCGUAGUAGCCGUGAAGGGGUAGCGGCGGUGUGUCGCAAGAGAAACGAAACAGCACAAAUG
Molecule: unclassified non-coding RNA, 1949 nt
Filed under: Leishmania donovani
Lineage: Eukaryota; Euglenozoa; Kinetoplastea; Trypanosomatida; Trypanosomatidae
Description: gene:LdHU3.25.1490(CDS-product:cytochrome_c_oxida se_VII_putative)
Source: RNAcentral